UACGUAGGGGGCUAGCGUUGUCCGGAUUUAUUGGGCGUAAAGAGCGUGUAGGCGGCCAGGUAGGUCUGGUGUGAAAACUCGAGGCUUAACCUCGAGAUGUCAUCGGAAACCAUUUGGCUAGAGUCCGGAAGAGGAGAGUGGAACUCCUGGUGUAGCGGUGAAAUGCGCAGAUAUCAGGAAGAACACCAAUGGCGAAAGCAGCUCUCUGGGACGGUACUGACGCUGAGACGCGAAAGCGUGGGGAGCGAACAGG
This 253-nucleotide ribosomal RNA is filed under the name uncultured bacterium. Its description in RNAcentral is "partial 16S ribosomal RNA". It matches the Rfam family "Bacterial small subunit ribosomal RNA", at positions 524 to 776 of the family's 1533-position model. The record is from RNAcentral.